UCUCUGGAGAAUCACCAAGACUUUUCUCUGCUCCCUCUCUUUUUCCACAAUCAUUCCUCAACAAUCGGAAAAGAAUCACUAAAACCAGAGAAGAAAGCUUCUCUGUACUCUCUCUGAAUUCAGCACCUUCAUCAUCUUCUUCGCAUCAAUUCUGCAAUCUUCUUCAAUCUUUAAACUCGCUCGGCUUUCUCUCUGCAACUCCAAUGAUCCAACCUUCAAUCAUCAUCUUCGUCAAGAAUUCUGCAUCAUCAUCAUUAACGAUUCACUCUCCAUCUGCAAGAGCAACAACAACGCAACUGAAGCACAGAGUACAGGGAGAUCCGAAAUUGCAGAAAUUGCAGAAGAAGAACGCACGCGGAAGGAGAAGAUUAAAACCAAGAGCGCCUAUCUGA
This is a non-coding RNA of Vicia faba (fava bean), 392 nucleotides long. The record is from the annotation of a GenBank genome assembly. Lineage: Eukaryota; Viridiplantae; Streptophyta; Magnoliopsida; Fabales; Fabaceae.